UGUCGGCUCUUCCUAUCAUU
This 20-nucleotide non-coding RNA is filed under the name Arabidopsis thaliana (thale cress). RNAcentral also lists the same sequence under 1 other name. Lineage: Eukaryota; Viridiplantae; Streptophyta; Magnoliopsida; Brassicales; Brassicaceae. The record is from RNAcentral.